UUAAAAAUGAGUUUGAUCCUGGCUCAGGGUGAACGCUAAUAAUAUGCUUUACACAUGCGAGUUGUGCGAUAAAAUGUUGAAAUACCGCAGCGAACGGGUGAGGAAUACGCAAAUAUUUUUUGUCUACCUUUUAACUUAAGAUAAACUAUACCUAUUAAAAAUUUUGAUUUUUUUUAGGAUAAAACUAUUUUUCAGUUUGUAGUAAUAUUAGAUACUUUUUUAGUGUGUUAAGCUCAAAAAAGCAAAAAUUAUAAAAGAAAUAAUUGUUAAAAGAUGAGUUUGUGGAAGAUUAGGUUGUUGGUAGAAAUAAAAGUUUACCAAGCCUUUGAUCUUUAGUUGGUCUUAGAGGACGUACAACCACACUGGAACUGAGACAAGGUCCAGGCUAAUUUUUUGGCCAGCAGUGAGGAAUAUUGGACAAUGAACGAAAGUUUGAUCCAGCAAUAUUAUGUGAAUGAUUGACGACCAACUUUUGGUUGUAAAAUUCUUUCGUUAAAAAUGAUAAUGACGUUAUUUAAAGAAGUUUUAGUCCCGGCUAAUCUCGUGCCAGCAGCCGCGGUAAUACGGGAGGGGCAAGCGUUAUCCGAAAUUACUGGGCGUAAAGAGUCCGUAGAUUGUAAUAUAAGUUAUAUGUUAAAAUUUAAAGCUUAACUUUAAAAAAAUAUACAAUACUGUUUUACUUGAGUUUUAUAUGGAAGAGUAGAAUUUCAUGUUAAGGAGUAAAUUCCAAGAAUACAUGAAGGAAUAUCAUUAGCGAAGGCGACUCUUUAGUACAAACUGACAUUGAGGGACGAAAGUGUAGGGAGCAAACAGGAUUAGAUACCCUGGUAGUCUACACUGUAAAUUCUGAGUGCUGUAAUUUAGAAAACAAAUUUUGGAUUUUUUAAGCUAACGCCAUAAGCACUCCGCCUGAGGAGUACGAUUGCAAAAUUGGAACUCAAAGGAAUUGACGGGAGCCUACAACGAGUGGUGGAGCAUGUGGUUUAAUGCGAUAAUCCGCGCAAAACCUUACCAACCCUUGACAUAUUGAAAAAUAAUUUAAAUUAAUAAAUUUUUUUUAUUAUUAAUGUUAAUUAAAAAAUUAAUAAUUUUUCAUUACAGGUGUUGCACGACUGUCGUCAGUUCGUGUCGUGAGAUGUUUGGUUCAUUCCUUUAAACGAGCGUAACUCUUGUUUUUAAAAAUUUACUUCUAAUUUUCGAUUUAGAUUGAAAAUUUUGUUUUAAAAAGACUGUUUGUUAAUUAAGGUUAAAGCUUUAAAGGAAGGUGAGAAUUAAGUCAAGUCACUGUGGCCCUUAUGGGUUGGGCUACACACGUGCUACAAUGAAAAUGACAAAAAGUAACAAAAAAUUUUAGUUAAUCUUUAAAAAUUUUCUUAGUUCGAAUUGUAAACUGCAACUCGUUUACAUGAAGAUGGAAUCACAAGUAAUCGCAAAUCAGAACGUUGCGGUGAAUACGUACCUUGGCUUUGUACACACCGCCCGUCACAUGCAGAAAGUUAGUUUUACUUGAAAAUUUAAUUUUUUUUGCUUUUUUCAAAAAGUGAAAAAAGUUAAUUCAUUGAAAAAUUAGCAAUUUGGAUGAAGUCGUAACAAGGUAGCUGUACGGGAACGUGUAGCUGGAACAAAUGAAAU
This 1632-nucleotide ribosomal RNA is filed under the name Skeletonema tropicum. RNAcentral describes it as "small subunit ribosomal RNA". It matches the Rfam family "Bacterial small subunit ribosomal RNA". The record is from RNAcentral. Lineage: Eukaryota; Bacillariophyta; Thalassiosirophyceae; Thalassiosirales; Thalassiosiraceae.